CAAAUGUGCAAGAAUGGCUAAUGGCGACAAGUGGAGGAGAGCUAAUGUCAAAAAGUGCGUCAGAAAUUUGGGAAUUCUUCCAGCGACAAGCGGACAAUUCCCAACAACGGAGUCGAUCGCUCAGGAAUACUAGAAGGAUUAAAGGAGUGAAUGAGGUUCACAUUGGCGAGUCAACUUCGGGAAUCAAAGAAGUCAAGGAGAUGGUUGAAGGUCUUGCUCGACGAAUAGCAUCGUUA
Molecule: long non-coding RNA, 236 nt
Filed under: Citrus sinensis (sweet orange)
Lineage: Eukaryota; Viridiplantae; Streptophyta; Magnoliopsida; Sapindales; Rutaceae
Description: long non-coding RNA (CSIN_LNC004232)
Source: RNAcentral